AUGGUUGAGAAACCCUAUUGUAGUAUAGGACACCUUACUGCAGAAGACAGGGAAAAGGAAAAGCAUAGCUGCAUGCUGAAGAAGAUCCAAAUUGCUCCUAAAUAUUCACACAAUCCAAGAAUGGUGGAGUCUGGCUGCCUGCCCAAGCAGGGCCAGCUGGAUGCUGUGCGCAUCAUGGCAAAAGACCUAGUGCGUACUCGGUGCUAUGUACGCAAGUUUGUUUUGAUGCGGGCCAAUAUCCAGGCUGUGUCCCUCAAGAUUCAGACACUCAAGUCCAACAACUCAAUGACUCAAGUCAUGAAGGGUGUCACUAAGGCCAUGGGCACAAUGAACAGACAGCUAAAAUUGCCCCAGAUCCAGGAGAUCAUGAUGGAAUUUGAGUGGCAGGCAGAGAUCAUGGACAUGAAGGAGGAGAUGAUGAAUGAUGCCAUUGAUGAUGCCAUGGGUGAUGAGGAAGAUGAAGAGGAGAGUGAUGCUGUUGUAUCCCAGGUCUUGGACAAGCUGGGACUGAUCCUGACAGAAGAACUGUCCAAUGUCCCCUCUACUGGAGGCUCACUCAGUGUAGCUGCUGGUGGGAAAAAAGCAGAAGCCGCAGCCUCAGCCCUGACUGAUGCUGAUGCAGACCUGGAGGAGCAGCUCAAAAACCUAUGGAGAGACUGACUGCCCCCCUGCCACUUGGGAGUGGAGGGACCAGUGGAUGUCUGGAACCUUUACCAUAAGCACUCUGUAAUAAAAGAGAUUGGACACUUAAAAAAAAAA
Carlito syrichta (Philippine tarsier) is the source of this 759-nucleotide RNA transcript. It is a transcript of the gene named charged multivesicular body protein 2a pseudogene, with no coding region annotated. The record is from RefSeq and is a predicted model, not a curated record. NCBI's taxonomy places the organism in Eukaryota, Metazoa, Chordata, Mammalia, Primates, Tarsiidae. The transcript is spliced from 3 exons.